AUACGGAGGGUGCGAGCGUUGUUCGGAAUUAUUGGGCGUAAAGCGCGUGUAGGCGGUUUGUUAAGUCUGAUGUGAAAGCCCCGGGCUCAACCUGGGAAGUGCAUUGGAUACUGGCAGACUUGAAUACGGGAGAGGCGAGUGGAAUAUCUGGUGUAGCAGUGAAAUGCGUAGAUAUCAGAUAGAACACCAAUGGCGAAGGCAGCUCGCUGGCUCAAUACUGACGCUAAAGCACGAAAGUGUGGGUAGC
This 247-nucleotide ribosomal RNA is filed under the name uncultured bacterium. RNAcentral describes it as "partial 16S ribosomal RNA". It matches the Rfam family "Bacterial small subunit ribosomal RNA", at positions 523 to 769 of the family's 1533-position model. The record is from RNAcentral.